AAAAUCUUAAGUUAAGGUAAACUAGUAACCUUCAAAGUUAAAAUUAAAAUCAUUUAGAUUUUG
This 63-nucleotide transfer RNA is filed under the name Agonoscena pistaciae. RNAcentral's name for it is "tRNA-Trp". Lineage: Eukaryota; Metazoa; Arthropoda; Insecta; Hemiptera; Aphalaridae. The record is from RNAcentral.